CGCCUUGUCCCAAAGCAUCGUUCUUCCUCUUUGAGGAAAUUUCAGAAGACCUUUAACCAUGGACAGAGUUCAGUCUCUCUAUUUUCGUGCAAGAGCAACGUCUCUCUUCUGCGAAAAACAAGACACUCUCUUCCUCUUCAUGAUAAACAUCUCUCUUCUUUAAUUUGAUCAACAAGAAGCCAAAAGACUUUUUGAAUCUCUGAUGGAGAAUCAAAGGUACGAUUUCUGAAUUCAAACAGCCAUUUUCUCAAUCGAUAUCCCGCCCAAAUUCAAUCUUAAAGACCUAGUUUUUUUCACUAUUUAUAGGAACCUCGGCCUUCAUUUUUAAAAAAAAGAUUUUCAGUCCUUUGACCUCCAUAGCAGCUUCGGCGUUCAUUUUUUUUAAGAAGCUUUUCCAUUACACCAUAUUACUGCUUAACUACUAUUUUCUGCUCUAAAAAAUUGCCUUCGCAUCCUCUUUCAAUCUCGACCAAAACUCAAGUUUCGAGCUUGUUUGAGUUCGUCAUUGUUCGAUUAUAGACACUUGAUCUAGCAGCCCCAUUCACUGCCCU
RNAcentral lists this long non-coding RNA (551 nucleotides) under Solanum tuberosum (potato). Its description in RNAcentral is "long non-coding RNA (STUB_LNC000532)". Lineage: Eukaryota; Viridiplantae; Streptophyta; Magnoliopsida; Solanales; Solanaceae. The record is from RNAcentral.